RNAcentral lists this ribosomal RNA (253 nucleotides) under uncultured bacterium. Its description in RNAcentral is "partial 16S ribosomal RNA". It matches the Rfam family "Bacterial small subunit ribosomal RNA", at positions 524 to 776 of the family's 1533-position model. The record is from RNAcentral.
UACGAAGGGGGCUAGCGUUGCUCGGAAUUACUGGGCGUAAAGCGCACGUAGGCGGUCUUUUAAGUCGGGGGUGAAAUCCUGGAGCUCAACUCCAGAACUGCCUUCGAUACUGGAAGACUCGAGUCCGGGAGAGGUGAGUGGAACUGCGAGUGUAGAGGUGAAAUUCAUAGAUAUUCGCAAGAACACCAGUGGCGAAGGCGGCUCACUGGCCCGGUACUGACGCUGAGGUGCGAAAGCGUGGGGAGCAAACAGG